RNAcentral lists this long non-coding RNA (581 nucleotides) under Cyanistes caeruleus (blue tit). RNAcentral's name for it is "lncRNA (ENSCCEG00000024418.1)". Lineage: Eukaryota; Metazoa; Chordata; Aves; Passeriformes; Paridae. The record is from RNAcentral.
GUCCUGUUUCUCUGUCUGCAGGUGCUCUGGGCAUUGCCAUACUGUUCUCUACAAAAGGGGAGCUCUCAAGAGACCUUUGCUAGAAAAAUUGUUCUAGAGGACAUAUCUGUUGAAAGGUUCCCAUCUUUAGACAAGCUCUUCAAGAAUUAUUUAGGAUCAAAUCUCACAGGACCGACUGGGAUGACGAAAACUAAAAGUACAGUUCCUGCAAAAGGACUAGUGUGGAGGAGAGCCAGGAGGUUUUACUGUGUUAGAGGCAUCCAUACACAAUCAGAGGAAGGCAGGCUAUAACUACCCAUCAAAGCUGCAGAGGGAAAAUAAUUAGAGAUAUUAAAUGGAUGGAAUAUUAACUAUUGAAAAGCUGUGUUCUUUCUGAGCUGUCUAAAUUUGUUUGGAUUCCCAAUCAAUGAACUGUGUGUUUCUUUGGAAGUUAUUGUUUGGGAUGCUUUUUCCCAAACGUUAAGAAAUAUGGUUAAAUCUAUGAAAAACAAAGAAACUCAAAUUUAAAAAAUGGUUGAGAACUCUGAAAGAAAAAUCAAAAUUAUUAGUGCAAAUUAAAUAUUGUAUGUAAUUAAAAAGAA